Molecule: long non-coding RNA, 225 nt
Organism: Harpia harpyja (harpy eagle)
Lineage: Eukaryota; Metazoa; Chordata; Aves; Accipitriformes; Accipitridae
Exons: 3
Source: RefSeq, a predicted model, not a curated record
AGAUGAGCUUCUGGAAAAGAGGGACUGACUCAUUUCCCAAAGGAGUGCAAGGAUCAAAGCUAUUAAGUUUCUACCUUGCCAUUGCCCUUGUAAAGAAAUAAAGUGUUUUCCACUGAUAAUAGAGUUUCAGUGUCUGGUGUAGUUACCUUACGUGCUACGUGUAGGCAGGAAUUGGAAAACCUUCCAACAGCAAAUUCAUAAAGUUCAGAAGUCUCCAUGUGACAA